UACGUAGGGACCGAGCGUUGUCCGGAAUCAUUGGGCGUAAAGAGCGUGUAGGCGGCUCGGUAAGUCCGCUGUAAAAGUCAAAGGCUCAACCUUUGAAUGUCAGUGGAUACUGCCGGGCUAGAGUCCGGAAGAGGCGAGUGGAACUCCUGGUGUAGCGGUGGAAUGCGCAGAUAUCAGGAAGAACACCAGUGGCGAAGGCGGCUCACUGGCCCGAUACUGACGCUGAGGCACGAAAGCGUGGGGAGCAAACAGG
Molecule: ribosomal RNA, 253 nt
Filed under: uncultured bacterium
Lineage: Bacteria
Description: partial 16S ribosomal RNA
Rfam family: Bacterial small subunit ribosomal RNA
Source: RNAcentral